AAGUUGUACACCAAGCUGGGCACUGGGGAUAAGGAUGCAGGGAGCCUGUGUGUGAAACAGGAUUAUCAGGGGGUCAUGAAGAGAGUCAAAGGAUGUCCAUCACUUCCCUUCUGGGUUUCUUGUCCUGGAGAAUCAGAGCAUCACUGGAUCACUGAAGUCUCAGUUGUGACCGGAGGCCAAACUGGAGUUAUUCUGUAGCUUGGCUGUAGGAUUGAGCUGCCAGCUCAGCCACACUUCCAGAGCUGCCUCGGGCUGACUACACCCUGCUGAGUCCGGCUCACUCUACUCAGUUGCAACCAGGAGACCUAGCUAGUAAGGACCACCCUCCCCGCCGCCUCUGGCCUCUUCGCUGUGCAGCUACUUGGAGC
Molecule: long non-coding RNA, 368 nt
Filed under: Heterocephalus glaber (naked mole-rat)
Lineage: Eukaryota; Metazoa; Chordata; Mammalia; Rodentia; Bathyergidae
Description: lncRNA (ENSHGLG00100049136.1)
Source: RNAcentral